RNAcentral lists this ribosomal RNA (497 nucleotides) under uncultured bacterium. Its description in RNAcentral is "partial 16S ribosomal RNA". It matches the Rfam family "Bacterial small subunit ribosomal RNA", at positions 28 to 507 of the family's 1533-position model. The record is from RNAcentral.
GAUGAACGCUGGCGGCGUGCCUAAUGCAUGCAAGUCGAGCGAACGGACGAGAAGCUUGCUUCUCUGAUGUUAGCGGCGGACGGGUGAGUAACACGUGGAUAACCUACCUAUAAGACUGGGAUAACUUCGGGAAACCGGAGCUAAUACCGGAUAAUAUUUUGAACCGCAUGGUUCAAAAGUGAAAGACGGUCUUGCCGUCACUUAUAGAUGGAUCCGCGCUGCAUUAGCUAGUUGGUAAGGUAACGGCUUACCAAGGCAACGAUGCAUAGCCGACCUGAGAGGGUGAUCGGCCACACUGGAACUGAGACACGGUCCAGACUCCUACGGGAGGCAGCAGUAGGGAAUCUUCCGCAAUGGGCGAAAGCCUGACGGAGCAACGCCGCGUGAGUGAUGAAGGUCUUCGGAUCGUAAAACUCUGUUAUUAGGGAAGAACAUAUGUGUAAGUAACUGUGCACAUCUUGACGGUACCUAAUCAGAAAGCCACGGCUAACUACGUG